ACGUAGGGUGCGAGCGUUAAUCGGAAUUACUGGGCGUAAAGCGUGCGCAGGCGGUUGUGCAAGACAGAUGUGAAAUCCCCGGGCUCAACCUGGGAACUGCAUUUGUGACUGCACGGCUGGAGUGCGGCAGAGGGGGAUGGAACUCCGCGUGUAGCAGUGAAAUGCGUAGAUAUCGAGAGGAACACCUGCGGCGAAGGCGGGUUGCUGGGCUGACACUGACGCUGAGGCGCGAAAGCCAGGGGAGCGAACGGGA
RNAcentral lists this ribosomal RNA (253 nucleotides) under uncultured prokaryote. RNAcentral describes it as "partial 16S ribosomal RNA". It matches the Rfam family "Bacterial small subunit ribosomal RNA", at positions 525 to 777 of the family's 1533-position model. The record is from RNAcentral.